ACCGUGGAUUAGCACGUUGAGUACACCAGUUCCCAAUGAAUCACUGAAGUUAAGAAGUGUUGCGCGUGGUUAGUGUCCGGAUGGGUGACCAUCUGGGAAAUUGAUUGCUUUUCCCAGUC
This 119-nucleotide ribosomal RNA is filed under the name Diaphorina citri (Asian citrus psyllid). Lineage: Eukaryota; Metazoa; Arthropoda; Insecta; Hemiptera; Psyllidae. The record is from RNAcentral.